UUGAAUGGGACUUUUGGCUGGAUGCUGUUGUGCUGGUCCUCUGGGCAAUGUGCACACCUCUGGUCACUUGUUUCUUCUGUUCCACCUGUGCACUGCCUGUAGACAUGCCAAUGGCGUGUCUAUGAUAUUUGUUACACACACGAUGUUAUGCAAGUUGGUUGGCAUAUUACAUGUUAUAAUAAAUAUA
Molecule: unclassified non-coding RNA, 187 nt
Filed under: uncultured Amanita
Lineage: Eukaryota; Fungi; Basidiomycota; Agaricomycetes; Agaricales; Amanitaceae
Description: sequence contains ITS1
Source: RNAcentral